GAUGAACGCUGGCGGCGUGCUUAACACAUGCAAGUCGAGCGAGAAGUUUUGACCAGCUUCUUCGGAUGAAGUUUAAAAUGGAAAUCGCCCGACGGGAGAGUAACGCGUAGGCAACCUGAACCAUACAAAGGGAUAGCAUAUGGAGACGAAUAUUAAUACCUUAUGAGACUUAACUAGUGCAUGCUAGGUAGGUUAAAGAGAUAUCGGGCUUGGAUGGUCCUUCGUCUGAUUAGCUAGUUGGUUAGUUAACGGCUCACCAAGGCCACGAUCAGUAGCCGACCUGGGAGAGCGAACGGCCAGAUAGGGACAGAGACCCGAUCCAACCUCGUACGGGAGGAAGGAGGGAGGAAGAUUGAACGACGGGGGAAACCCGCAGGCAGCAAGGCCGCGUGAACGCGGAAGUCCUUUGGGACGCAAAGUUCUGUUCUAGGGGAGGAAAACUGACGGUAACUUAGGAGAAAGCCCCGGCUAACUACGUG
This 479-nucleotide ribosomal RNA is filed under the name uncultured bacterium. RNAcentral describes it as "partial 16S ribosomal RNA". It matches the Rfam family "Bacterial small subunit ribosomal RNA", at positions 28 to 507 of the family's 1533-position model. The record is from RNAcentral.